This 472-nucleotide ribosomal RNA is filed under the name uncultured bacterium. Its description in RNAcentral is "partial 16S ribosomal RNA". It matches the Rfam family "Bacterial small subunit ribosomal RNA", at positions 28 to 507 of the family's 1533-position model. The record is from RNAcentral.
GACGAACGCUGGCGGCGUGCUUAACACAUGCAAGUCGAACGCUGAAGCUUGGUGCUUGCACUGUGUGGAUGAGUGGCGAACGGGUGAGUAAUACGUGAGUAACCUGCCCUUGACUCUGGGAUAAGCCUGGGAAACUGGGUCUAAUACUGGAUACGACAUGCCACUGCAUGGUGGUGUGUGGAAAGGGUUUUACUGGUUUUGGAUGGGCUCACGGCCUAUCAGCUUGUUGGUGGGGUAAUGGCCUACCAAGGCGACGACGGGUAGCCGGCCUGAGAGGGUGACCGGCCACACUGGGACUGAGAAACGGCCCAGACUCCUACGGGAGGCAGCAGUGGGGAAUAUUGCACAAUGGGCGGAAGCCUGAUGCAGCGACGCCGCGUGAGGGAUGACGGCCUUCGGGUUGUAAACCUCUUUCAGCACGGAAGAAGCGAGAGUGACGGUACGUGAAGAAGAAGCGCCGGCUAACUACGUG